Mus caroli (Ryukyu mouse) is the source of this 953-nucleotide non-coding RNA. The record is from RefSeq and is a predicted model, not a curated record. Lineage: Eukaryota; Metazoa; Chordata; Mammalia; Rodentia; Muridae.
GGAAGGAGGGAACUGUACCUUCAGCCUGAGAUCUCUCAUCAGGGUGCAGAGGCUGAUGGGGAGCCACCAGCUUAGCCUCUCAGUUGCCAAACGAAGUAGGAACAACAAGAGAACUUUCAGCCAAGUGUCUCUCCACUAUUCCUCUUCAGCAAAGAUACUCAGAGUCCUACACCAAACUGGACACUCUACUUAAUGGUCAUCACUGGACCAACAAUUAAAAACUCAGGACCCAACAACCCAGAGGGAGAACACCCAUGGGUGUGAGAGGGUUCCUCUGUGUAGCCCAGGUUGUCCUGGAAUUCCCUCAUGCAGACCAGGCCGCCCUUGGCUUGAUCUCCAACUCAGAGUUCCAACCGUUUCCACCUCCUGAGUGCUGGGAUUUAAAGGGUCCUAAUAGCACCUCCCACCACCCCCACCCCACCCCUCCCCCAUCUCCAGAUACACUGGUCCUUACUGCCAGACUAUCAGAAGUCCAGCACUUACUCACAUAGAAGCCACUGAUGGUCUAUGAAGUGUCCCGUCAGGAAUUUUUUCCUAAACGGUCAGGAACAAACCAAGGAUUUUCACACCGUGUUUACCCCUAUUUUUGGAGAUCUUAGCCAGUGCAACUAAGCAAGAAAAAAGAAAUGAUGGUCAUCUGGAGUGGAAAAGCACAAACGAAAAUAUUUAAACACGACUGCUGAUCAAGCCUGAUGACCUCAAGUCCAUCCCUGGGGCCCACGUCAAAAUGCAGGAUGCUGCGGUACUCCAACAGUCUGGCAAGGAGAACAAAGGUAGAGACCAGAGGAUUACACAGAAUUCGCAGAAUUCUAGCCUGCUAGCCUGGCAUGCAUAACACAGGAAAACUCACCCUGCCUCAAAGAGGUGGAAGGACAGAACUGCUCCUGGAGGCUGUCAUGUGACCUCCACAAGCACGUGCAGUCCCACACGAGUACUAAUAAUUAAUUAAUUAA